Molecule: ribosomal RNA, 269 nt
Filed under: gamma proteobacterium elnaggar-3
Lineage: Bacteria; Pseudomonadati; Pseudomonadota; Gammaproteobacteria
Description: partial 16S ribosomal RNA
Source: RNAcentral
AACCGCGUAAAGUGGCAAGAGCAAAAAGGGGGGGCUCCGGGGCUCUCGUCUCCAGAUGUGCCCAGAUGGGAUUAGCUAGUAUGUGGGGGAAUGGGGCGCGGGGGGGGGGGGGGGGCUAGCUGGUCUGAGAGAAUGACCACCCCCACUGUGAGCUGAGACACGGUCCGCACACUUAUGCGAGUGGCCGGUGUGGAAAAUUGUGCAUGUUGUUUCAACCCCAUGCAUACAUGUCCCGUGUUUUAAAAAAAGGGGUCCUUUUUGUAAUAAGU